CCUACGGGUGGCUGCAGUGGGGAAUAUUGGACAAUGGGCGAAAGCCUGAUCCAGCCAUGCCGCGUGUGUGAAGAAGGCCUUCGGGUUGUAAAGCACUUUCAGUGGGGAAGAAAGCCUUGGGGCUAAUACCCUCGAGGAAGGACAUCACCCACAGAAGAAGCACCGGCUAACUCCGUGCCAGCAGCCGCGGUAAUACGGAGGGUGCGAGUGUUAAUCGGAAUUACUGGGCGUAAAGCGCGCGUAGGCGGUCUGAUAAGCCGGUUGUGAAAGCCCCGGGCUCAACCUGGGAACGGCAUCCGGAACUGUCAGGCUAGAGUGCAGGAGAGGAAGGUAGAAUUCCCGGUGUAGCGGUGAAAUGCGUAGAGAUCGGGAGGAAUACCAGUGGCGAAGGCGGCCUUCUGGACUGACACUGACGCUGAGGUGCGAAAGCGUGGGUAGCAAACAGGAUUAGAUACCCCUGAGUC
This 464-nucleotide ribosomal RNA is filed under the name Vreelandella stevensii. Its description in RNAcentral is "partial 16S ribosomal RNA". It matches the Rfam family "Bacterial small subunit ribosomal RNA", at positions 338 to 795 of the family's 1533-position model. Lineage: Bacteria; Pseudomonadati; Pseudomonadota; Gammaproteobacteria; Oceanospirillales; Halomonadaceae. The record is from RNAcentral.